RNAcentral lists this unclassified non-coding RNA (474 nucleotides) under Hevea brasiliensis (rubber tree). The record is from RNAcentral. Lineage: Eukaryota; Viridiplantae; Streptophyta; Magnoliopsida; Malpighiales; Euphorbiaceae.
UGAUUAUUUCCUAAACGUGUUAACAUUAAUAUAACUUUUUUUUCCCCCUUAAUUAUUAUCCUCUGCACUAAAGUUAAGAGCUUGAUCACUAAAGUUUUAAUGAAAUGGUAUAGUUUUCACCAAUUAUCUGAACAAAUUAAUUAACAAUCUUCCAAAGUUUAGUAUAAUUAACCAAUAAAAAACUCAUAUAUGAAAAGGAACUUUGAGCAUCAUCUGAUAAAGUUAUGCCUAAUUGAAAACAAGCAACAAAGAUACAAACCCAGAAAUUAAAUUUGCAGAAGAAUGAAAUCAAUGGCCAUGUAUAUAUCAUCAUUAUUCAUUCACUAACAACCACAUGAACAAGAAAAAACAGAGCAUUUUCCCGUAUUACACUCAAACAAUAAAAGAUAUAUACAAGAAAGAAGAAAAAUAGGAAGAAAUCAAUACCAACAUACAGCAAUUGAAGAGUAGGUAAAAAAUUGACGAUGACUUACC